This 1530-nucleotide ribosomal RNA is filed under the name Triticum aestivum (bread wheat). RNAcentral's name for it is "partial small subunit ribosomal RNA". The record is from RNAcentral. Lineage: Eukaryota; Viridiplantae; Streptophyta; Magnoliopsida; Poales; Poaceae.
AUGGACACGGCCGCCUUGCUCCCGGUGGCGCUGGCCCUCAUGGCCAUCCCCGUCACGGCGCUCCUCCUCAGCCGGCUCCGCUUCGGCAGGCUGCCACCGGGGCCGCGCCCGUGGCCGGUGCUGGGCAACCUCUUCCAAAUCCAGCCCGUGCGCUGCCGGUGCUUCGCCGAGUGGGCGGCGCGGUACGGGCCCAUCAUGACGGUCUGGUUCGGCUCGACGCCGAUGGUGGUGGUGUCCACGCCGGAGCUGGCGCAGGAGGUGCUCAGGACCCACGACCAGCACCUGGCCGACCGCUCCCGGAACCGCUCCUCCGAGCGCUUCAGCCGCGGCGGCAUGGACCUCAUCUGGGCCGACUACGGCCCGCACUACAUCAAGGUGCGCAAGCUCUGUAACCUCGAGCUCUUCACGCCCCGCCGCCUCGAGGCGCUCCGCCCCGUCCGCGAGGACGAGGUCACCGCCAUGGUCGAGUCCGUGCACGCGGCCGGCAAGGGAGGCAGGCCCGUGGCGGUGCGGGAGUUCCUCGCUAUGGUCGGCUUCAACAACAUCACGCGGCUCGCCUUCGGGAAGCGGUUCCUGACCGCGGCCGGCGAGCUGGACGAGCAAGGGCGCGAGUUCAAGGAGAUCGUCAACAACGGCAUCAAGAUCGGCGCGUCGCUGUCCAUCGCCGAGCACAUCCGGUGGCUCCGGUGGCUCACGCCCGUCGACGAGGUGGCCUAUCAAGCCCACGGCGACCGGCGCGAUCGGCUCACCGUCAAGAUCAUGGAGGAGCACGCCAGCGCCCUCGAGCGGAGCGGCGCCAGCAAGCAGCAUUUCGUCGACGCGCUCUUCACGCUCCGGGACAAGUACGACCUCAGCGACGACACCGUCAUUGGCCUCCUCUGGGACAUGAUCACCGCCGGCACGGACACGACGGUGAUAACCGUGGAGUGGGCGGUAGCGGAGCUGGUGAGGAACCCGACGGUGCAGCACAAGGUGCAGGAGGAGCUGGACCGGGUGGUCGGCCGCGACCGGGUGCUGUCGGAGACGGACUUCCCCAACCUGCCCUACCUGCAGGCCAUCGUCAAGGAGUCGCUCCGGCUGCACCCGCCGACGCCGCUGAUGCUGCCGCACAGGGCCAGCGCCGCCGUGAAGGUCGCCGGCUACGACAUCCCCAAGGGAGCCAGCGUCACGGUGAACGUGUGGGCGAUCGCGCGCGACCCGGAGGCGUGGGACAGCCCGCUCGAGUUCCGGCCCGAGCGCUUCCUCCACGACAACAUCGACAUCAAGGGGUGCGACUACCGCGUGCUGCCGUUCGGCGCCGGCCGCCGGGUGUGCCCCGGCGCGCAGCUCGGGAUCAACCUCGUGGCGUCCAUGAUCGGCCACCUCCUGCACCACUUCACCUGGGCGCUGCCGGACGGGACCCGGCCGGAGGACAUCGACAUGAUGGAGUCCCCCGGGCUCAUCACCUUCAUGCGCACGCCGCUGCAGGUCGUCGCCACGCCGCGCCUCGAAAAGGAGGAGCUCUACAAGCGGGUGGCCGCCGAGAUGUGA